This 496-nucleotide ribosomal RNA is filed under the name uncultured bacterium. Its description in RNAcentral is "partial 16S ribosomal RNA". It matches the Rfam family "Bacterial small subunit ribosomal RNA", at positions 28 to 523 of the family's 1533-position model. The record is from RNAcentral.
GAUGAACGCUAGCGGCAGGCCUAAUACAUGCAAGUCGAGGGGUAGAAGAGGCUUGCUUCUUUGAGACCGGCGCACGGGUGCGUAACGCGUAUGCAACCUACCUUCAUCUGGGGGAUAGCCCGGAGAAAUCCGGAUUAAUACCGCAUAAAAUCACAGGAUGGCAUUAUCCAAUGAUCAAACAUUUAUGGGAUGGAGAUGGGCAUGCGUGUCAUUAGCUAGUUGGCGGGGUAACGGCCCACCAAGGCGACGAUGACUAGGGGAUCUGAGAGGAUGGCCCCCCACACUGGAAAUGAGACACGGACAAGACUCCUACGGGAGGCAGCAGUAAGGAAUAUUGGUCAAUGGAGGCAACUCUGAACCAGCCAUGCCGCGUGCAGGAAGACUGCCCUAUGGGUUGUAAACUGCUUUUAUUCGGGAAUAAACCUUAUUACGUGUAAUAAGCUGAAUGUACCGAAGGAAUAAGGAUCGGCUAACUCCGUGCCAGCCGCCGCGGUAA